RNAcentral lists this ribosomal RNA (429 nucleotides) under Bacillota bacterium. Its description in RNAcentral is "Firmicutes bacterium partial 16S ribosomal RNA". It matches the Rfam family "Bacterial small subunit ribosomal RNA", at positions 355 to 776 of the family's 1533-position model. The record is from RNAcentral. Lineage: Bacteria; Bacillati; Bacillota.
UAGGGAAUCUUCGGCAAUGGACGGAAGUCUGACCGAGCAACGCCGCGUGAGUGAAGAAGGUUUUCGGAUCGUAAAGCUCUGUUGUUAGAGAAGAACGUUGGUAGGAGUGGAAAAUCUACCAAGUGACGGUAACUAACCAGAAAGGGACGGCUAACUACGUGUCAGCAGCCGCGGUAAUACGUAGGUCCCGAGCGUUGUCCGGAUUUAUUGGGCGUAAAGCGAGCGGAGGCGGUUCUUUAAGUCUGAAGUUAAAGGCAGUGGCUUAACCAUUGUACGCUUUGGAAACUGGAGGACUUGAGUGCAGAAGGGGAGAGUGGAAUUCCAUGUGUAGCGGUGAAAUGCGUAGAUAUAUGGAGAAACACCGGUGGCGAAAGCGGCUCUCUGGUCUGUAACUGACGCUGAGGCUCGAAAGAGUGGGGAGCAAACAGG